UAUUUUGGUAUAUAAAACGGCCGCAAAGGUUUAAAGUAACGUGAUAAAUUAGGUUGGGUUCGCUGAAAGGAGCUGAAUUAGACUUAAGUUUUAGAGGUAGCCGAAAUUACUUUGUGACAAAUUAGCGCACAAAUGUCUAUGUGUGUGUAUGUGUCUGGAAGUAAGUUGAUUUUACAGCACAGUACGCUGCUGAACUACUUCCAUUUUUGUUUUCUUUGCUGAGGCUCAAGUGCUGGUGACAAAGGAGAACGGUUGAGUUUCAUCUCAUAAAACUGAUACCGCUUCACCGUUAGGGUGAAGUUGAAGGCCGUAUCAGUAAAUCACUCUAAAGUCAAGCGUGCCAGCGACGGCCCAGCAAAAUCUUUGAAAACGGAGAAUAAACAAGCAAAAUUAACACCUGAUGAGAAAUGGUUAGAAAAACAACAAGCAGGAGCAGGCAAAAUCAGUGCAAAUAGGUGGAGAGAUCCACAAAAAGCAAAAAAAAAAAACCAACAAAAAAACAAAAAACAAAAAAACCCCCAAACCCCCCCGCAGAUUCUUUAGAUUGCCCUGAUCAACAACAGCCGGUGCUCCAGACCAUUAAUUUAACCAGUUGUUAAUAGUAAUCUGCAUUAAGUUCAGGGUUGCUCAAAUUCAGUACAAUGACAGAUGAAGUGAUGAAUGAAUGAAUGAAUGAAUGAAUUGAAAUUUAUUUCAGUCAACAACAACAGAUUAUAAUUUUACAUAAAAGUACUCAAACAGAAACCGAAAAAGGAAUAGGCUGAAGCCUUAUGGCUUAUACUUAUCCGAUCCCUUACCCCUAUAGAAAUAAUCAAAUCCUUAACCAAGAAGAUAAAUAACAUUGAUAAAUAAGUUGUAUAACAGUUUGAAAAGAAAUCAAUGAUAAAUCAAGAAAUUAAAUCAACACAAAAAAAUGUUAACAAACCAAAUUUCUAUAACCUUGUAUAAUACUAAUUUUUAAAAGCUUCCUGAAGAAUGACAAAGAAAAACACAUCUUCAGUUCAUCAUUAAGUCCGUUCCAUAAUUUC
Molecule: long non-coding RNA, 1028 nt
Organism: Astatotilapia calliptera (eastern happy)
Lineage: Eukaryota; Metazoa; Chordata; Actinopteri; Cichliformes; Cichlidae
Source: Ensembl